RNAcentral lists this ribosomal RNA (945 nucleotides) under Funneliformis caledonium. RNAcentral describes it as "LSU rRNA". It matches the Rfam family "Eukaryotic large subunit ribosomal RNA", at positions 1 to 779 of the family's 3401-position model. Lineage: Eukaryota; Fungi; Glomeromycota; Glomeromycetes; Glomerales; Glomeraceae. The record is from RNAcentral.
GACCUCAAAUCAGGUAAGAAUACCCGCUGAACUUAAGCAUAUCAAUAAGCGGAGGAAAAGAAAAUAACAAUGAUUCCCUCAGUAACGGCGAGCGAAGAGGGAUAAGCUCAAAUUUUAAAUCUGUUGGGUUUCACCUAACAGAGUUGUAUUUUGAAGAAACGUUUUCUGCGUCCAGGAUUAGCCUAAAUCCUUUGGGAUAAGGUAUCAUGGAGGGUGAGAAUCCCGUUCAUGGUUAAUCUUAAGGAUGCUCUACGAUACGUUCUCCAAGAGUCGAGUUGUUUGGGAUUGCAGCUCAAAAUGGGAGGUAAAUUUCUCCUAAGGCUAAAUAUUGGCGAGAGACCGAUAGCGAACAAGUACCGUGAGGGAAAGAUGAAAAGAACUUUGAAAAGAGAGUUAAACAGUACGUGAAAUUGUUGAAAGGGAAACGAUUGAAGUCAGUCAUACCAACGGGAAAUCAACCUCUUGAGUUUGGUCUCGUGGGUUUUGAAGAGUUUUUAAAAGCCUUCGGAUUUUCGAGAUUGGGUUCUUCUGGUGUACUUUCUCGUACGGUUAGUCAACAUCGGUUUUGAAUGUCAUAAAAUGACUGGAGGAAUGUGGCUUCGAUCUCGUAUUGAAGUGUUAUAGCCUUUGGUAGAUGUGAUGUUCGAGACCGAGGAUUGCAACGGAUACCCUUCUGGGCUAUUCGUCUGAUCUCUGAAACGUUGCCUUGAUGUCGAAAGCUUGCUUAUGAUGUUAGGGUAUUACGGUCAAAAGGUUAGAACGGAUUAAAUUCGUUAAGGAUGUUGACGUAAUGACUUUAAACGACCCGUCUUGAAACACGGACCAAGGAGUCUAACAUAUAUGCGAGUGUUUGGGUGAAUAAACCCUUGCGCGUAAUGAAAGUGAUUUUGGUGAGAUCCGGAUUAAUUUUUUUUUUCGGAGCAUCAUCGACCGAUCAGGAUAUUU